GACGAACGCUGGCGGCGUGCUUAACACAUGCAAGUCGAACGGAAAGGCCCUGCUUUUGUGGGGUGCUCGAGUGGCGAACGGGUGAGUAACACGUGAGUAACCUGCCCUAGACUUUGGGAUAACUUCAGGAAACUGGGGCUAAUACCGGAUAGGCGCUCCUGCUGCAUGGUGGGGGUUGGAAAGUUUCGGCGGGUGGGGAUGGACUCGCGGCUUAUCAGCUUGUUGGUGGGGUAGUGGCUUACCAAGGCUUUGGCGGGUGGCCGGCCGGGGAGGGUGACCGGCAACAUUGGGACUGGGAUACGGCCCGGACUCCUCGGGGAGGAAGAGGUGGGGAAAAUUGCACAAUGGGCGGAAGCUGGUUGCAGCAAGGCCGCGGGCGGGAUGCCGGCUUUGGGGUUUAAACCCGCUUUCGCCUGUGACGAAGCGUGAGUGACGGUAAUGGGUAAAGAAGCACCGGCUAACUACGUG
Molecule: ribosomal RNA, 468 nt
Filed under: uncultured bacterium
Lineage: Bacteria
Description: partial 16S ribosomal RNA
Rfam family: Bacterial small subunit ribosomal RNA
Source: RNAcentral